This 316-nucleotide ribosomal RNA is filed under the name uncultured Chloroflexota bacterium. RNAcentral describes it as "bacterial SSU rRNA". It matches the Rfam family "Bacterial small subunit ribosomal RNA", at positions 28 to 351 of the family's 1533-position model. The record is from RNAcentral. Lineage: Bacteria; Bacillati; Chloroflexota.
GAUGAACGCUUGCGGCGCGCCUAAAACAUGCAAGUCGAACGAACCCAAUCUUCGGAAAGGGUUAGUGGCAGACGGGUGAGUAACACGUGGGUGACCUGCCCUGAAGUGGGGGAUAACUACUCGAAAGGGUGGCUAAUACCGCAUACGCUUGCUGAUUCAGUUCAGUAAGUAAAACUACGGUGCUUCGGGAGGGGCCCGCGGCCGAUUAGCUAGUUGGUGAGGUAAUGGCCCACCAAGGCUCUGAUCGGUAGCUGGUCUGAGAGGAUGAUCAGCCACACUGGCACUGAGACACGGGCCAGACUCCUACGGGAGGCUG